Molecule: ribosomal RNA, 307 nt
Filed under: uncultured bacterium
Lineage: Bacteria
Description: bacterial SSU rRNA
Rfam family: Bacterial small subunit ribosomal RNA
Source: RNAcentral
GAUGAACGCUAGCGGCAGGCUUAACACAUGCAAGUCGAGGGGCAGCACAGGGAGCAAUCCUGGGUGGCGACCGGCGGAAGGGUGCGUAACGCGUGAGCAACUUGCCCGUAUCUGGGAGAUAACCGAUGGAAACGUCGACUAAUAUCCCAUAACACAAUUUGUGGCAUCGCAGAUUGUUAAAAGAGAAUCGGAUACGGAUAGGCUCGCGUGACAUUAGCUAGUUGGAGUGGUAACGGCACACCAAGGCGACGAUGUCUAGGGGUUCUGAGAGGAAGGUCCCCCACACUGGAACUGAGACACGGUCCAG